UGGGGAAUAUUGCGCAAUGGGGGAAACCCUGACGCAGCAACGCCGCGUGAAGGAUGAAGGUUUUCGGAUUGUAAACUUCUUUGACGAGGGACGAAUAACUGACGGUACCUCGAAAACAAGCUCCGGCUAACUACGUGCCAGCAGCCGCGGUAAUACGUAGGGAGCGAGCGUUGUCCGGAUUUACUGGGUGUAAAGGGCGAGUAGGCGGGAUGACAAGUCAGAUGUGAAAACUAUGGGCUCAACCCAUAGCCUGCAUUUGAAACUGUUGUUCUUGAGUGAUGGAGAGGCAGGCGGAAUUCCUAGUGUAGC
This 309-nucleotide ribosomal RNA is filed under the name uncultured Clostridium sp. RNAcentral's name for it is "bacterial SSU rRNA". It matches the Rfam family "Bacterial small subunit ribosomal RNA", at positions 355 to 679 of the family's 1533-position model. The record is from RNAcentral. Lineage: Bacteria; Bacillati; Bacillota; Clostridia; Eubacteriales; Clostridiaceae.